AACUAUAACAGUAUUAGUAGUAGUAGUAACAGUGGUAAUAGCAGUACUAACAGUAGUAAAUAUAGCAGCAGUAGUAGCAGCAAUAGAAGUAACAGGAGCAAUAGAAGUAGCAGAAGUAUUACUACUAGUAGUAGCAUUAGUAGUAGUAGUAGUAGUAUUAGUAUUAGUAGUAGUAGUAGUAAUAGUAGUAGUGUAGUAGUAAUAGUAGUAGUAGUACCUAUAAAUACCCAUGUACUUGAAGACUUUUAGCAUCAACCACAAAUCAAAACUUGAGUUUCUCAAUUCAUCUCUCUUACUUUAUCCUCUCAU
This 309-nucleotide long non-coding RNA is filed under the name Carica papaya (papaya). RNAcentral's name for it is "long non-coding RNA (CPAP_LNC001993)". The record is from RNAcentral. Lineage: Eukaryota; Viridiplantae; Streptophyta; Magnoliopsida; Brassicales; Caricaceae.